RNAcentral lists this ribosomal RNA (493 nucleotides) under uncultured bacterium. RNAcentral describes it as "bacterial SSU rRNA". It matches the Rfam family "Bacterial small subunit ribosomal RNA", at positions 903 to 1397 of the family's 1533-position model. The record is from RNAcentral.
AAAUGAAUUGACGGGGACCCGCACAAGCAGCGGAGCAUGUGGUUUAAUUCGAAGCAACGCGAAGAACCUUACCAGGGCUUGACAUACCAGUGACCGGCCUAGAGAUAGGCCCUUUCUACGGAACACUGGAUACAGGUGGUGCAUGGUUGUCGUCAGCUCGUGUCGUGAGAUGUUGGGUUAAGUCCCGCAACGAGCGCAACCCUUGCCUUUAGUUACCAUCAUUAAGUUGGGGACUCUAAAGGGACUGCCGAUGAGAAAUCGGAGGAAGGUGAGGAUGACGUCAAAUCAUCAUGCCCUAUAUGUCCUGGGCUACACACGUGCUACAAUGGUCGGUACAACGAGCAGCCACUUAGCGAUAAGGAGCGAAUCUCAAAAAGCCGAUCCCAGUUCGGAUUGCAGGCUGCAACUCGCCUGCAUGAAGUCGGAGUUGCUAGUAAUCGCGGAUCAGAAUGUCGCGGUGAAUGCGUUCCCGGGUCUUGUACACACCGCCCGU